UACGGGGGGAGCAAGCGUUGUUCGGAUUUACUGGGCGUAAAGGGCGCGUAGGCGGCACUGCAAGUCAGUUGUGAAAUCUCCGGGCUUAACCCGGAAAGGUCAGCCGAUACCGCGGGGCUAGAGUGCAGAAGGGGCAACUGGAAUUCUCGGUGUAGCGGUGAAAUGCGUAGAUAUCGAAAGGAACACCUGCGGCGAAGGCGGGUUGCUGGGCUGACACUGACGCUGAUGCGCGAAAGCUAGGGGAGCGAACGGG
This 253-nucleotide ribosomal RNA is filed under the name uncultured bacterium. RNAcentral describes it as "partial 16S ribosomal RNA". It matches the Rfam family "Bacterial small subunit ribosomal RNA", at positions 524 to 776 of the family's 1533-position model. The record is from RNAcentral.